This 497-nucleotide ribosomal RNA is filed under the name uncultured bacterium. RNAcentral's name for it is "partial 16S ribosomal RNA". It matches the Rfam family "Bacterial small subunit ribosomal RNA", at positions 28 to 507 of the family's 1533-position model. The record is from RNAcentral.
GAUGAACGCUGGCGGCGUGCCUAAUACAUGCAAGUCGAGCGAACAGACGAGGAGCUUGCUCCUCUGACGUUAGCGGCGGACGGGUGAGUAACACGUGGAUAACCUACCUAUAAGACUGGGAUAACUUCGGGAAACCGGAGCUAAUACCGGAUAAUAUAUUGAACCGCAUGGUUCAAUAGUGAAAGACGGUUUUGCUGUCACUUAUAGAUGGAUCCGCGCCGCAUUAGCUAGUUGGUAAGGUAACGGCUUACCAAGGCAACGAUGCGUAGCCGACCUGAGAGGGUGAUCGGCCACACUGGAGCUGAGACCCGGUCCAGACUCCUACGGGAGGCAGCAGUAGGGAAUCUUCCGCAAUGGGCGAAAGCCUGACGGAGCGACGCCGCGUGAGUGAUGAAGGUCUUCGGAUCGUAAAACUCUGUUAUUAGGGAAGAACAAAUGUGUAAGUAACUAUGCACGUCUUGACGGUACCUAAUCAGAAAGCCACGGCUAACUACGUG